UUUUUUUUUCUUUCACCCAUCCCUUCCUUUAGUUAUCAUUUCUUUAUUUUAUUACAUCCUCCAUACUAAUAUGACACCUAGUUAAUUAAAGUUAAUAUAAAAUUCACACUUGAUUAUACAAUUUGUAGCAUGGCUGGCCACUGCCUAUAGUUUGGCUAAUUUGACAUGCAAGGACAAGCACUUUCCUACAUAUAUUAAUAGGCCACUUUAGCACUUGCCUAGCAUAUUUCUAAAUUGUCUCACAUAAGUCCCUACUAAUAAUUUUCACAUACACUGACCAAAUUGAAGUAUGGAACUAUCACACAAGCAUUUACUCACAUCAUAAACACAGAAUAUAACCUUUAAUUAUUUAUAAGACUCGAUUUCGUGGUCCCGAAACCACUUUUCGACUAGGGUCACUUUAGGGCUGUCACAGAUAUCGCUGCAUGAAUGUUUUCAGAUUGAGCCCAGAAUUGUCGUCGCACCUGACAGCUGUCCAGAUAACAACAAAGAAAUGUGAGCUGUCAAGUCUGGUACAACUAACUUGUACGUACAGAGACAGCAUGUGUCUGAUGAAAUGACACUUGUGCUUUUUGGAUAAAUAUCAAUAUAUUUAUAUGAAGAGAGAAAAAUGAAGAUCAUAUUCUUGAACUUUUCUUUUGAUACUUUUUAGCUAUGGCAACUUAAAUUUCCUACGGGUGAACGCGGGAUGCAGGUUAGCUCUUGACGAGGAGCCCUGAGUGCGACACAAGAAGGAGUUAAGAGAUCAAGGCAAGAAUUUUUGGGAAUAGUGCUCUCCACUUGUUUAUUUUAUAUUUCUUUUCUAAACGGUGGUGAUUACUUUCUAUUUCAUGUUUGUGGAAGUACACAUGAUUUCUAGUUUAAAUGCUAUUUUAUUCAAUCUUGUUUCUACUGUUUAAUCUUUGAAUUUGAAUGUUUUUAACAUGGAAAUGUUAUUACAGUCACUAACACUGGAAAGUGCAGCGACAGUUCAAGCUAACAAGCAUGACAAUGGAAGUUGCUCAAGAAUUAGAGGAAUUUAAUCUGCUUAUUCUUAAUAGUGUUCUAUUGCUAGCAUCGGAAGGUGUGUAAUGUGCAUGUUAAGUCUUAGAUUAAAUAUAGAAGUUAAGCUUGGUAAGAUAUUCAUUGCAGUUUAAUGCAUCGACAAUCACCUAUGCUUUUUACCUUGUGAGCACUUAGUAUUCUGUUGAAUAUUCACGUUAAGGAUCCCAAUUUCUCACUAUUAUAUUUGAUCUUAUUAUUUUCAAGUUAUUGCUUCGAAAACUAUUCAAAAUUUAUCUUAUUUUAUCUAUUUAUUACACUGAUAUUGAUAGACAAAAGACAACCAUCCUCAUGGGAUCAAUAUCCGAUAGACUCAUAUCUGUCUACUAUACUUGCAUUGAGAGUGUACGCUUGCACAUUAGUGCUAUGACGUUAAACAACCGACCAAGUUUUGGCACCGUUUCAUGGGAUAGUGUUUGUUUAAUGUUUAUUUUUGUUUAUUUUUAUUUCAUAAUAUUUAUUUGUUAUAACUUGUUUUCCUUUUUCCAUUAUUUUUCAGAUUUUAUUUUAGCUAUUGAAUGACUCGAAGCAAUUAGGAAUUUAUUGCCGAUUUUGAUCCAGAUAUUGAACGAACCAUUCUGAGGAGACUUCGAGAACAAAGGAAUAUGGCUUUACCAAAAAACAAUGCAGUCUUACCCCCGAUGCAGACCAAAAUGCUAAGGACCCAUCAUUCCAGUAAGAUGCUCAAUUACAAAACAGUCAUAUACAAGAUUUUGUAGCACCUAUCUUAGAUGACUUACAACCGGGAGUUGUUAGGCCAGCAAUUCAAGCUGGGAAUUUUGAACUCAAACCAGCAAAGUUCCAAAUGUUGAAUUCUAAUAGGCAAUUUGUUGGAUUGCCACAUGAAGAUACACGAGAACAUCUAAAAUCAAUUUUAUUGAUUUGUGCUUUCUUUAGUCAACAAGGCAUUCCUGAUGAUGCUUUGAAGAUGCAGUUAUUUCCUUAUUCCUUGCAAGGAAAAGCUUGUACUUGGUUUCUUGGGUUACCUACCGAAUCAAUUACUUCUUGGAAUGCACUAGCAACAUAUUUUGUUUUGCAAUUUAACCCACUGACAAUGAAUGUUCGUCUCCGAAAUAAUAUUAUAGCUUAUCAUCAGCUGGAUGACAAAAUUCUUCACACCACAUGGGAAUGUUAUAAAUCUUUGCUUCGACAUUGCCUCAUGCAUGACAUUCAAUACGAAACACAAAUUGAGAUUGUAACGCCCCAAAAUUUGAUAAAUUUGUUUCUAUAAAUAAUUGACACACAAGUGUGUAUCUGCUUUAGUGUUUAAGUGUUCUGGGUGUAUGCGAGAGGUUCCAAGUUCAAAUUUUGGCUUUUUCUGGAAUUAAGCCUUUACUGCUAGUUCAACAGGCUUAUAUUAAGUUAUUUGGAAUUUCAUAUCAGAAUGAGCCUGCUGGUUUGGUGGUUCAGUGGAGUGUUAGUGUGCUGGGGGUCUUGAGUUCAAAUUUCUGCGUGAGCAAAGGAGAUUAUUUUUGCUCGGUUUGGUGGUUGAGAGUUUGAGUUGUACUGAAAUUCUCAGUAGUAGGUGGUUGAGAUAGUGUAGGUAGUGGGGUUUGGGGAAAUCAGUUCCCAAAUUUUCUCUCCAAGAAAAAAAACAUACAAAAUCUCAUCUCCCCUCUGUUCUCUCCUUUCUUUUUGCCCUUUUCCUAAAUUUUCCUUCCCCUACUGCUGCCCACUCUAUUCUGUUCUUUCAUCAGUGCCUGUUCAGAGAUUCGUUCUUUCAUUUCCGUUAGCUUUCGGUGAGUUUUUUAAAUGUGCUUUUAGUUUCAUUUUCUAAGUGACCGAUGGGAAGUGUAUCUUGUGUUUGACAGCGAGGAAUCGAGCUGAGCGAGACUGUCAUUUCGAGGAAUUCGAGUCAUUAUGCUCGAGUUGGAAGUGUAAGUGUUAAGGCGUCGAUGUGAAUUACUCUCAACAUCAGUUAGUGAAUUGCUAAUUCGAUGUUGUGUAUACUGAUUUUAGGUUUUGGAGUGCUUGGUGUUUGGGUUAGCUUCAAACGAGACCAAGUCUGUACCCGAAACACAGAAAAUGAGAGUUAGCGAAAAGCUGAAAAACCAAUGUGUCGACAACACACGGGCGUAUGGUCGCCUGUGUGGUAGGCCAUGUGAUAGAACAUGGGCAUGUGAUCGACGAGCCAGGCCGUGUGCGCAUGACAUGGUCGUGUGAUGGCCAGGUAGGCCAUGUGCGACAUACGGGCUAAACCGAUUUAGACUGUGUGGGCCACAAGGGUAUGUGGGCCUACAUGGGUAGGCCAUAGGGGUGUGUGAGCCCAUUUUUUGAAAUAUUUUGUAAGGUUGCACGGGUAGCCCUAAUUGACUGUGGAUCUAUUGUAGGGUUGGUAAGCUUUAUUUAGACCCUUGCUUAUGUGAUCUGAUUGUAUGGUGUCUGACUGAGCAUGAUUACUAUACUGAACCGAAUGUAUGUUCUAUUAUUAGCAUAUUUGCAUGUCAUUUAUGGUAUGUUGCAUUACAUCAGGGUGGUUUGAUGAUAUUUGGAGGAAGUAUCUAAAAGGCUCUCAAGCAUGUUAUCUGACUGCUCAGCUGCAAAGCGAGACUGUCAUUUCGAGGAAUUUGAGUCAUUAUGCUGGAGUUGGAAGUGUAAGUGUUGAGGCCUCGAUGUGAAUUACUGUUAACAUCCGUUAGUGAAUUGCUAAAUCAAUGUUGUGUAUACUGAUUUUAGGUUUUGGAGUGCUUAGAGUUCGGGUUAGCUUCAAACAAGACCAGGUUUGUACCCGAAAUGCAGAAAAUGAGAGUUAGCAAAAAGCUGGAAAAUGAAUCUGUUGACACCAUACAGGUGUGUGGUCGCCCGUGUGGUAGGUCGUGUGAUAGAACAUGGGCGUGUGAUCGACGAGCCAAGCCGUGUGCGACAUACGGGCCAAACCGAUUUGGGUUGUGUGGGCCACACAGGCAUGUAGGCCUACACGAGUAAACCAAAUGGGUGUGUGGGAUUUUGGGCCAGGUCGUGUGAUCCAUACGGCCAAGGCCAAACUGGGCCGUGUGGGCCAUAUGGGCGUGUGGGCCUAUACGGGCAGGCCAUAAGGGCGUGUGAGCCUAUUUUCUUGAAAUAUUCUGUAAGGUUGCGCGGGUCACCCUAGUUGACUAUGGACCUAUUGUAGGGUCGGUAAGCUUUACUUAGACCUUUACUUCUGUGAUCUGAUUGUAUGGUGUCUGACUGAGCAUGAUUAUUGUACUGAACCGAAUGUAUGUUCUAUUAUUAGCAUAUUUGCAUGUCAGUUAUGGUAUGUUGUAUUGCAUCAAGGUGGGUUGAUGAUAUUUGGAGGAAGUAUCUAAAAGACUCUCAAGCAUGUUAUCUAGCCUCUCAGCUGCAAACUUCUGAUUAUGUGCCGCAUUCCAGUACAGUAUGGUGUAUGUGUGGGUUGAUUUAAUCCCCACAUGGUGUGUAAGGCUGGACAGAGAUGGUGUGUAAAGGUUGGUGGGUAGGAUUCUGAUUUACAGUAUCUGUAUUUUGUAUCUGAUAUGGGCCAAGGCCCUAAUAUAAUUCUGAGAUGAUAUCUAAAUGGGCUAAGGCCCAAAUUGAUUUUGUAAUGGGCUUAGGCCCGGACUGUGAAUAACUACAUUCUGAUGCAUUUUGUAUGCAUGUUUUUCUGUGGGGAUUACACACUGAGUUUGUGAAAAACUUAUCCUUUCUACUUAAUCUGUACAAGUAGUACCCAAACUUGACGGAUCAGCACAGUGGAGGACUCGACGAUGGCCACACGUGAAUUCUAGACCAUUUUAGUAAAUUUUCAGAAUUUAUUACUUAUUUUGAGUUGAUGUAAUUUUUGGGACUUUGGACUUUAUUGGGAUUUUUAAACUAUUUAUGGAAUUUUAGUCUAAACUUGAUUUUUAAUCAAAAUGACGGCUUUCUUAAAUACGAACAGUUUUCCAAAGAUGAACUUUUUCAAAGCUUUCACUAAAAAGAUAUGAUUUUUGAUAAAAUAAAGAAAAUGUGUUUUACCUUGAACUAGGAUAAAGACUAACUAACUAGAACAAUUUUAACUAGACAAAUUCAUUUUCAACUUUCAUUCCAUGCGACAUCGCCAGAUUCGGCCAUAACGUCUGGGCCGGGUUUGGGGUGUUACAGAGAUUUUCUAUAAUGGGCUGAAUUCACAUACAAGGAAUCUUGUCGACGCAUCAGCCAAUGGUCCUUUGCUGGAUUGUACUUAUAAUGAUGCUAUUGGAAUUCUUAAGAGAAUUGCUCAGAAUGAUAAUCAAUAUCCUAUCCCUAGAGGCACACAAGAAAAAGCUACUUCGAGAGUUAUUGAAUUGGACGCAAUAUCUGCACUUAGUGCUCAAGUUUCUUCUCUUGAAAAUAUGAUAAAAAAAUAUGCAAGGGACUAGUGACGUUGUGCCUAUACAAGUCACUCAAUAAGUUGAUAUUUCGACCUUUUGUUGUGAGAUUUUUAGUGACAACCAUAACUUCGAAUAUUGUCCACAACAUGCAGGAAAUGCCUUUUAUGUCAGUAACAUCCGCAACAAUUCUUAUAGCACCUUUUAUAAUAAUUCUGCACACAAUCAAUAGUCUUGGGGAACUUAGAAUGCUGGACAAAAUGCUGUGCCAUUUCAAUAUGGGAAUAUAUCUUCUCAGGCUAGUUAUAAUCCAAGGCAAGGGAAUUACAAUCAACAACAAUAGAACUACAAUUAACACCUUUCGGUGCAUACACAACAAGGCUAGAUGACACACCAGAAUCAGAUGCUGCCACCACCCUCUUGAAUGCCAAAUCAGCAUGGUCAAGAACAUCGACGACAACAGUACAUACAUGAUUCUCCUUUUGACCUGUUAGCAUCUCUUGAAGCUUUAAUGCGGGAGCAUAUGACUCGCACAGAAGCUAUUGUACAAGGGAAUUCAUCUUUUCUUCGGGCGUUGGAGGCACAAUUGGGACAACUUACUUCGAAUCUAAAUACUUGACCUCAGGGUACACUACCUAGUGACACGGACAAUCCUAGUCCGAGAGGGAAAGAACAUUGUAAGGUUAUCAUUCUUAGGAGUGGUAAACAAACUGGUAAGCCGACUACAAACUUUGUUGUAGCACCUCAAGAUACUGGUGAAGUGAUCCCUGGUAAGAAUGUUGAAUCUAAAGAGCUUGUCAAUGUACCAGACAAAGAAGUUCCACAAAUUGUCACUCAUAUGCCUCAUUUUCGACCCUCGAAACUAUUAAUGUAAUGAAGGGUGUUGGCGUAAUCAGAUGUAUCUAUACCUUCACCUUUCCUACAAAGAUUCAGGGAGAAUGAACAUAACAAGCAGUACCAACAGUUUCUAAACACACUGAAGCAACUUUAUGUCAAUAUUCCUUUAGUAGACGCUCUUGUGCAAAUUCUGAAUUAUGGGAAAUUUAUGAAGGAGCUCUUGUCCAAGAAAAAGAAGCUCAGUGAUAUGGAAACUAUUGCACUCACAAAGGGCUGUGGUGCUAUUUUGACAAAUAAGUUGCCCCUCAAAAAUGAAAGAUCGUAGGAGCUUUACUAUCCCAUGUUCCAUUGGCAACCAUUAUUUGGGCAAGGCCUUAUGCGACUUGGGAACUAGCAUCAACUUAAUGCCAUUAUCUACUUUCAGAAAGUUGGGAAUUGGUCACAUGAAACCUACUGUAGUGACAUUGCAACUAACUGAUCGAUCCUUGGCUCAACUAGUAGGGCAAAUUAAAAAUGUUUUAGUUCGCGUGGAUAAAUUCAUUUUUCCGGCUGAUUGUAUCAUACUUGACUGCGAGGAAGACAAGUAGGUUAGCAUAAUCUUGGGAUGACCAUUUUUAGCCACCAAAUGAACUCUUAUUGAUGUUUACAAAGGUGAACUGACCAUGCGACUUAACGAUGAGCACGUUACCUUCAGUGUUUUUGAAUCUAUUCAAUGUAAGGACAAAGAAGAUUGCCAUACUGUCAAGGUGUUAGAUGAUUUAAUUGCGAAAGAAUUCAACGACCAAAGCACAAUACUUUCUGAGGAGGUUGCAGUGACAUCUAAUGAUGAAUUUGUAGAUGAUUGUGACAGCAUGGUUGUAACACCCCUUACCCGUAUCCGACGCAGGACAGGGUACGAGGCAUUACCGAAUAUAAACACAAGCAUUCAUAUAAAACCGAGACAUGGAUUUCAGUCUAAAUUUAAAACUUUUCAUUCACAUGCAAAUCAUCCCUUAUAUGGGUCCUCGAGGCCCAAAACAUACAUUGGGUGUUGUUUGGGACUGAAUCGAGAAAUUUCAGAACUUUCAUAUCUCUUAGAAAUUUUUCCUCAAAAUAGGAGUCACACGCUCGUGUAGGUAAGCCAUGUGGUCACACACGCCCGUGUGGCUUGGGACACGCCUGUAUCCUCAGCCCAUGUAACUCUCUAUUUAUGACGUCAUCAAUCAAAAUAGGAUCACACGACCAAGUCACACCCCCGUAUGCUAAGGCCAUGUCCUUCAUACGGCUGAGACACACAGUUGUGUCUCUGCCCGUGUGUUUGCUACUGGGCAUUUUGUUUUACCUAAUUAGGGUGCAGGGGACACACGGCCGAAACACACGCCCAUGGGCAGACCGUGUGUCACACAAGGCUUAGACACAUGCCAGUGUGUCUACCCGUAUGGACAACUUUGAGGCUAUUUUUCAAGCCAAUUGCCACCCUUAUUUUCUCAAACACAUACAUGACUUCAAAAGCACUUAACAUUGCAUAAUUAAGCAAUUAAACAUACAUAAAAAAAACCUAAUCAUGAUCAUUUCAUCUUUACUAAUACAUGCAUAAGACUUCAUGCUUUGUCAAACCAAAAUUAUAAAUUUGCAUGCACUAAGAGUUGUAGUUUAUUUCUAUCUAACAUACUCAUGUCUUAGAUGCCAUAAUGUCAUUUAUUCACAAUUCCAUCAUCAAACACCCAUAGUCACAACACAUUUGCACAGGCACAUGCAUGCAUAUAUGAGUAGGUUUACAACCCAAUACACAAUAUGAGCCAUAUCUCAUGGCCAUAUACAAAAUGAAUCACUAAAUCAUUAUAAGCCAACAUGCUUGGGCAAAUUAAUAAUGACAUAAUUAAUCAAUAGACAAAGUCCCUAUACAUGACAUAAAUUUAAAACACUUGUGUUCACUUAUACCCAAAUGAUAGCUUGAUAGUGUGAUGGCGUCUCCGGCAGUCUCCAACCCGAGCUAGCUAAAUUAACCUAUAAGGGAUAGGAAAGGAAGGGGAGUAAGCUUCAAAGCUUAGUAAGUUCAUAUGUAAAUAAUAAACAACUAUUAACAUUCAUUUAUUUUACCCAUUCAUAAGAAUGUUAUUAAUACAAUUUGCAUUAAAUCUCAUGAUUACCACUUACUCAUUCAUGAUGCUUACUCUUUAAAUUACAAACACUAGUUGCAUGUCUUGGAAUUAGACUAACGACCAUGAUCUCCUCAUUAUAGCAUAUCACGUUAUUUAACAAGUUAUUUCAACUAUCUUAACAACAUGCACAUCAUUUAUGAGUAAUCAUAAUUUCCACAUAGCUUAACAAUCUUUCACACAUCUAUUGAAUCACAGCUUAAGUAUAUACAUCGUACUACUUUACAAUUCGAUCAAGCUCAUAUGCCUAUCACAUGAUUAUUAUCAAAUUUUAUCAUGUAUCCAUUCAUCAUAAAUGCAGAUCAUUUGUUACAAGGUUAUCAAUGUUUCACAAGCAUAACUUGUUCGUGUACAUACCUGUACCUCACAUAAUAUAGUCACAUGCUUUCUCGUAUGCAUCCUUACCAUAUUUUCAUAGUAUACCGAAUCCUUUACUCAUGAGUUAUAAGUACAAACCUUUACUAACUUGUAGCACAUUCUCAUAUUUCCUUGUCAUUGACUUACUUGUCAAAUAACUCACUGAUUUACCCGUUGAACACUUGGAAUACUAUUGGAUACACGGAAAGCUCGCACAUAAGUGCCACAUUCAUAGCUAAAGCUACCUCAUAUCACAUAUCACAUGUUGCUCACUUUCAAGCUACUCACUGGCCUACUCACUUGAGCUGUCAGCUAGGGUGUAGCUACACGGGCUGCUCAUGCAAGUUGUUAGGUAUCUGCAACGCAUGCCGGACUACUCAGCCACCGGUAGAACAAACAAAACCAGCACCCAGACCGCCAUAACAUGUGUCACAUAUAUCAUGAACUCAGACCACAACUCAUGAGCUCAGAUCACAUAGUUCCUAGUGACAUGUCACUUGUAUCCUAAACUAUUCCUAAGGUUCAAACGGGAUUUUCUCAAUGUCACAUCCUUGCCGAACUCAUUUACCAUGUCAUUCUCAUAGUGCAUAACAUCGUUCAUACACUCAUCAUAACCAUUUAAAGAUAGAAAAUUGUACAUUAAUAAAGCAUUAAACAUAUGAUCAUAAUAUUUCAUUUUAUACACAUGAACUUACCUCGACACCAAAAUGGCAAAAUGGGACCUAACCGUUAAUUUCUCAUUUUUCUCUUGUUCUAGGUCCAAACCUUGUUUUCUUUGAUCUAUAAUAUCACAUAUAGUCUAUUUAUUAGUCACAUUAGUCAAUGUGAUCCAAAAAUCAUACUAUGUAAAAAUUAUAUUUUUGCCCCUAAACUUUGUCAUAUUUACACUUUUGCCCCUAAGCUCGUAAAAUGAUUUUUAUUCAAUUUUUUGCACUUUAAGCCUACCCGAAUCAUUUUCAUAACUAUAGCAGCCUACAAUUUCCACUAAAUCACACUUUUAUGUCAAAUUUUAUAACUUUUACAAAUUAGUCCUUUUUAGCGUUUUCACCGAAAACUACUUAAUAAAAGUUGUUUAACACACAAAAAAUAUUCAUAUUCCUCCCUUAAACAUAAAAAUACACAUAUGUAACACAUGGGUAAAUUUUUAAACAUCAAUCCUAGCUCAAAUAAAUGGUAGAAAUAGAUAGAUCUUAUUACGAGGAUUUUAAAAAUGUAAAAAUCAUUAAAAACGGGGUAAGAACAGACUUACAAUGGAGCUUGGAAAGCUUGAACAAAACCCUAACCAACGGUGGUCUUCAAAAUUUCGGCCAAGGGGUUGAAGAUAACCAAAAUUUGACUUUUAUUUUGUUUAUUUAAUCAUUUAAUUACUAAAUGACCAAAAUACCCCUAACUUAUAAACAUUCUAUUUCACCUAUUUCAUGUCCAUUUUUGUCCAAAAAAUUAACCAAUGGUAUAAUUACCAUUUAAGGACCUUAAAUUUAAAAUUUCAUAGCAAAUUGACACCUCUAGCUUCUGGAACUUAAGUUUUGUACUUUUUAUAAUUUAGUCCUUUUGACUAAAUAGAGUGCCCAAAUGUCAAAAAUUUUGAAUGAGAUUUUCAUGAAAUCAUUACUUUAAGUUGUAUACUAUAAAAAUAUAAUAAAACUAAAUUUUCUUACGUCAAAUUUGUGGCCCCGAAACCAUUGUUCUGACUAAACCCAAAAUCUGGCUGUUACAAUGGUUGAAGUGAAAAAUAUUAAAGUUAAGCAUGGAUGGCAGAUCGAAUCCUCAGACUUAGCCAACAGAAAAACUCCAAUUUUCAAUCCAUAUAUUAAUGAAGCUUCUACUCUGGAAUUGAAACCGUUACCUACUUAUCUUAAAUACGUCUUUCUUGGUGAUAACAAUACUUUCCCAGUUAUUGUCUCUGUAACAUUGGAUGUCACUCAAGAAGAGAAAUUGGUUGAUAUUCUUAAGCAACAUAAAUGAGCUAUCACUUGGAGUAUUGUCGAUAUCCGAGGCAUUAGUCCUUCUUUUUGCAUGCACAAGAUCAAUAUGGAUGAUGAAGACAAGCAAUCCAUUGAGCAACAAAGAAGAUGAAACGAGAAGAUGAAGGAAGUUGUUAAGAACAAACUUAUAAAAUGGCUUGAUGCUAGAAUUAUUUAUCCUAUUUCUGAUAAAAAUUGGGUAAGUCUAGUGUAAUGCGUUCUUAAAAAAAGUGGCAUCACUAUGGUUAUCAACGAUAAAGAUGAAUUAAUUCCUACACGCCUUCCUACAAGAUGGCGAGUCUGUAUGGAUUAUUGCAAACUUAAUGCUGCCAUAAGGAAGGACCACUUGCCACUUCCUUUCAUUAACCAAAUGUUGGAUAGGAUUACUGGAAAAACCUAUUACUAUUUCUUAGAUGGCUAUUCUAGAUAUAAUAAAAUUGCGAUUGCACCGGAGGAUCAAGAGAAAACAACUUUUACUUGUCCUUUUGGUAUUUUUGCUUUUUGUCGUAUGACUUUUGGUCUUUGCAAUACGCCAACCACAUUUUAAAGGUUCAUGAUGGAAAUAUUCUCGGAUAUGAUUGAAGAUUCUUUAGAGGUUUUUAUGGAUGAUUUCUCAGUCUAUGGGAAUGAUUUUGAUCAUUGCACUGACAAUUUGGAUAAAGAAUUGUAACGAUGUGAAGACACACAUCUUGUUUUAAAUUGGGAAAAAUGUCAUUUCAUGACAACUAAAGGCAUUGUGUUAGGCCAUCGUAUCUCUCGUUAAGGCAUUGAAGUAGACAAAGCUAAAGUGGAAAUCAUUAAGAAAUUACCUCCACCGACAAAUGUGAAAGGUAUUCACAGUUUUCUUGGGCAUGCGGGUUUUUACCAAAGAUUUAUUAAAGAUUUCUCAAAAAUUGCAAAGCCCAUAUGCUUAUUGCUAGAACAGAAUCAAAAAUUAUUCUUUAACGAUGUAUGUCUAGAUGCAUUCAUUCAAUUAAAAAAGAAGCUAGUAAAUGCACCUAUUGGUGUUGCACUAGAUUGGUCUCAACCUUUCAAAGUUAUGUGCGAUGAAAGCAACUUUGCUGUGGAUGCUGUUCUAGGACAAUGUAAGGGAAAAAUAUUCCACGCCAUUUGUUAUGCUGGCAAAACUCUUACAGAGGCUCAAAGCAAUUAUUCCUCUACAGAAAAAGAAUUGUUAGCUGUAGUCUUUGCUUUCGACAAGAUCCAUUCUUAUCUUGUCGGUGCAAAGGUUACUCUAUUUACUAAUCACUCAAUGUUGAGAUAUAUUUUUGCGAAGAAGUAUACAAAAUCAAGAUUGAUAUGCUGGAUCUUACUAUUGCAAGAAUUUGACAUCAAGAUAAAAGACCACAAGGUUUCAGAAAAUCAAGUUGUAGACCAUCUAUCUCGAUUGGAAAUUGGCAGCGAAGAUGGAAACAUACUUCAAAUUGUCAACGCAUUCCCAGAUGAGAAGUUACUUACUGUAGCUGCAACAUCUUGGUAUGAGAAUUUGGUUAAUUAUCUAGUGUGUGGAAAAUUCCCAUUAGGUGUCCCAGGCAAUAGCAAAGAAAGAUUUUUUCAUGAAGUAGAGAAGUAUCAUUGGAAUAAACCAUAUUUAUUCAAGGUAUGCAAUGAAAACAUUAUUUGGCUUUGUGUUCCGGAAGAGGAGAUGCUUUCAAUCUUGAAGCACUAUCAUGAUGCUCCUUAUGGCGGUCAUUUCGGUAGCAUGCGAACUGCUAUUAAAAUGCUCUAAUCAGGAUUCUACUGGCCUUCAUUAUUCAUAGACCCCCACAAAUUUGUGCAUCAAUGCGAUAAAUGUUAAGGCACGGGUUCUAUAUCUUAACGCAAUGAAAUGUUACAGCAGCCAAUUAUGGAGGUUGAAUUGCUUGAUGUUUGGGGUAUGGAUUUUAUAGGACCAUUUCCAAGUUCAUUUGAAAAUAUUUAUAUUUUAGUAGCUGUUGACUACGUCUCGAAGUGGGUUGAAGCUGUUGCAGUCCCAAAGGAUGAUGCAAAGACAGUGCUUAAAUUUUUUCACAAGCAUAUACUCACCCGCUUUGGCACACCAAAGGCAUUGAUUAGUGAUCAGGGUACACACUUUCAUUACAACCAAGCGGGAACCACACUGAAGAGAUAUUGGGUUAGUCAUAGAAUGACCACUACUUAUCAUCCGCAAACUAAUGGGCAAGCUGAAGUGUCAAAUCGACAAAUUAAAACCAUACUUGAGAAGGUUGUAAACCCUUCGAGGAAAGAUUGGUCUUCCAGAAUGGAUGACGUUUUAUGGGCAUUGCAGACAUCAUACAAAACUCCAUUAGGGAUGUCACCAUAUCAAUUAGUUUUGGGGAAAGCAUGUCACUUGCCAGUUAAAAUGGAACACAAAGUAAUAUGGGCAAUUAAGCAAGUGAACAUGGACUAUGAAGCUACUGGGAAGAAAAGACUGUUGGAUAUCACUGAACUGGAGGAGAUUAGGAAAAAUGCCUAUGAAAACACUACAAUUGACAAGGAAAAGGCCAAAUGAUGAAAUGAUAGAAUUAUUUUGUAGCGACAAUUUAUAAUGGAUCAGUAAGUUUUAUUAUUCAAUUCUAAACUGAAACUACACCCGGGUAAAUUGCGCUCUCGUUGGUUUGGACCUUUUGAAGUUGUUGAAGUAUUUCCUCAUGGUGCAAUCACAAUUAGAUACUUACAUGAUAGACACCAAUUCAAAGUGAAUGGUCAAUGAUUGAAACAUUAUCUUGGGAAUAUUGAUCAAAAGAAGGCAGAAACCAUUAAAUUGGUCGAACAAUAUUAAUUUUUUCUGCAAUUUAUUACUAGGUAAUUUUAUUUUAUUUUUUCUUCUGUUUGAGUUUUUAUUAUUAUUAUUAUUUUUAAUUUUAUUAUUUCAGAAUAAUUAGGUACCAUUGUCGAUGCACUUGGGCUUUAUUUUCAACGUAGUUCGUACUAUUAUACUGUCACUUCUGACUUAGCAAGAAUGAGGGCAGAUUAGAAAUUUAAGAUCUCAUCGUUUGAUCAAAAGUCACCUAGUCGUCUAGUCUUUCUGAGCGGGCACAAUCCUCAUUGGACGUAAUUAUUCCCACCAGCUUUAUUUCGUUUUAGAAAAUCACGUCUUUCCAUCUUCUUUUUUCAGUCACUGUAAACCCCUCUUCACUGUGCCGACUAUGAAACACCUAAGCAACCAUUUUUGUUCACUUUCUCUUCCUCAAGUUUGUACCUUUACACUUUUAAAUCAUCUUCACUCCACAAAACAAAAAAAAAUAUGGUAAGAAUGAGAGGAUCGGUCAAGAAAGCCACUAAGCCUAUUGAAGAACACUCAUCCUCUGCAAUUUUAGUUCGAGUGUCGGAAUCCUCCAUGCUAAUGACGAGAAAGGAAUAGAUGAUCUUUUUAACGAAAGCGGCCAAGGACCGGUUUCAAAACAACAUCUUAAAGGCAAACUUCCGCCCAGAACAAGGCAUUCUCCUUUCACAAUAACAAGGCUUGGGUAUACAAGUUUCCAGAACCAUCUCUAAGUUGAAGUGGGAAACUUUCUACAUGCAUCCUGGAAGCUAUUCUUUUUCAUUGGUACAUGAGUUUUAUGCUAACCUUUAUGACCAUGAGUUGGAGUUUAUCUUUGUUUGAGAAGAUUUAAUCCAAUGGGAUGCUACAACAAUCAAUGAACUAUACAACACUAAGGUGGAUGUUGAUGAACACUCCAAGUUUAUUGAUGAUGUCAGAGACGACAAAAGGGACCUGCUGGUGAGGGAUUUAUGUGUCGAAGGAGCAUUGUGGACGGGUGCACAUCAAAAGAAUUAUACGAUGCACCAUCACUUCUUAACAUUGCAAAGCAAAAUCUAGUUUCAUUUUGUCAACUGCAGGUUACUGCCAUCAACUCACAGCACCACUGUCAACUUCGAUAGAAUAUGCCUCAUACAUUCUAUUGUCAAGGGUAGAAAGAUUGAUGUUGACGCAAUACUCCACUAGAAAAUUGCUGACAAUGCCGCGAGGCAAAAUGGAAUUUUGGUUUUCCUGUCGUUGGUAAUGCUACUAUGCCAGCAGAAAGGGAUUGUGCCUCAUGAUGAUGAAGAGAUCUUGGAAAAUAAGGGCUCGAUUAAUGAAACAUUCAUUGAAAAAAUGACUUGUGGUAAAGAUACGCCGAAAAUAAAGGAGGCAGAGACUAACAAGACAAGAAAGGGCAAAACCAAAUAAGAAAACAAGGGAACGAACUUGACUACUGAGACAUCAUUGCUGUGUAAAAUGAAGGAUAUCGAGAAGUUGGCCAAUUCCAUCAGCAAUAAGCAGAUCAGGCUUGUCACUACAAUAAAAGAUGUAGACAUAUCACAAAAUUUGUUCUACACUUAUGCCAGGGCAUAUAACAACUGCAUUGUCGCCACAUUACGUCAGUUAAGCCUAACGCCACUAUCAGAAUUUCCAGUGUUCCCACCGAUUAUUCGAGAGUAUGAACCCUCCUCCGAGGAAGAUGACCUAGGGGACUGAGACAGAUCGGUAGAAUCCCCUUCCAUUGUGCACAUCUUUGAUGUUGAGAAAGAAGAAGACUCAAGGGACAUUGAGGAGUGCAUGCGACAGAUGGAUAACCUAGUCGAAGGCAACUUCAUUUCUGGUCAAGAAGCACCUACUGUUAAGAAGGAAGUUGUUGUAGAGGAGGAGGACGUCCGUGUUGACGUUGUUAACGAGAUGACAGAGGAAUAAAAUACUGAGACAGAAGCUACUGAGAAAGAAUCUAUUGAGGAUAUUGCCAAUGCAUCUGAGUUUGUGGGUGCAACUACUGAUAAUCUGGAGCGAGAUGGAGCUAGAUCAGCGGAUGCUAUAGAGUUAACCAGUGAGGAGCACCACAACUCAUUGGGAUAGUGGUCUAUACCAGACCACUCAAGGUGACCCUUUCUAUACAAGAAGUAGCUGAUAAUGCCAAGGUAAUGUCGGAAACUGAGGAGCGAUCCAAGGACCGUGUGAAACCCAAAGAAAAGAAGAGAAAGUGCUUCAAAGACAAAAAAUGCAAGAAAGAGGAGAAAAAGAGGAGGAAGAAGAAACAUCGUGUAGCCACAUUGAUGGCCGAGGAAAAUUGCGUUAGUUUAUUUUAAGUUUUAGUUGUAGUAUUCAUACACUGCAUAUAGUUGUAAUUUUCAUUUUUUUAGUGUACAUUGUCGUUGCAUUUUUAUUGUCAUUGCAUGUUAAUGUUAGUGCAUUGGAGACAAUACAAAUGUAACACCCCUAGUCCGUGUCCGUCGCUGGAUUAGGAUUAUGAGGCAUUACUGAUCAACGGCUCAAUUCCAAACAUUUACAUAAAUAUAUACAUUCAUUCAAGUCGAAUUCAUUAUUAAUGGAAAAUAAAACCAACUUAUGUUUCAAAACAAGUAUUGACAUAUAUCUUGCAUAAACAUUGUUGCAACUAAACUCAACGUAUUGCUUACAACAUCAAAAUAUUUACGUGUAUGAUAUUAUCUAACAUUCACAGGGUCAGACAUACUUCAAAUAUUAGUCAUGUGGUUAUUCAUAUUGUAACUAAUUUACAUACACAUUUAAAAUUUACAAAGUCAUAAAGUAUGUAUAAACCACCUCUUAUGCGACUAAAAAAAAUAGGCAAAAUAAACUUGCACGCUUUAUUCUUUAAUACAAGUGAAUCAAUAAUUAGGCUUCUUAACUAUUAAUCUUUAGUGCUAUUUGCAAUUUAACAUAAGAGCAAGUCCUUAGAAAUCAUGUCUAAUCAUGCAACCAUAUUAUAAAAUUUGAUAAAUAUUCCCAAAUAAAUGUUUAAUAAAAUACACUAUGGCCGAAUAGACCAACAUAUACAUAUAAAUGCAAUCAACCUUAAGGUGGUGGUCACCUUUAGCAUUAAACACAUGAUAGCACAAUUGACCAUUUAUUCACAUGACGCAUGCAAUAUUCAUCACUUGACAAACGAAUCAGUUAACUUGUAAACACUUAUCUAAUAUUUCCUUUCUAAUUCUUCGUGUCUAUCAUCACCAACCCGAGUCAAACAUAUAACACUUAAUAUAUAUAUAAAUUGUAAGCAACCUUCACAUUUAAUAAAACCAACCAUUCAUAUAUUUACAUAUAUAUAUGUAACAUCUAUAAUAUAAUCACUUUAUGCCCUAGUAAAGUAUAAAUAAUUUUUUUAACUAAAUCAAGGUGACCGAAUAUUUCAUACACACAUAUAAUAUAAUCACAUAACUAAACAUAACUCUAUUCAACCUUUAACACAUAAUAUAUUUAUCAAAAGGCUUGGACAAUUAUUCAAUCCCAAACCGAGAUCAACCUAAAAUAUAAAGCCAUUAUCAUUGCACAAAAUACUUGCCACAUACCAAACUAUGAUCAAGCAAUAUAACAUAUGUCAAGCCAAAAUCAUGGAUAGCAAAGCUAAGCACAUGUGAAACCGAAACCAAACAUAAGUAACAAGCCAUUUUCGCAUGGCCUUAGUUACAUAGCCAAAAUCAAUAUCUCAAAAUAUGUUUCAGCCUAUACAUGCUAAGAUAAAAUACAAAAUAUAAAUAAAUUAAAUUAAACCAAACCAAUACAACAGUCCAGUUCUAUAACAGACCCAAACCCAGCUACAUAACCUAAGCCCAAUAACUAAACCUAGACCCAAAUUUAAAACCAAGACCCAAAUACAGGCCCGAUGGCCCAAAAAAAUUUUAGAACAAACAAAACCCUAGGGUUCUCUCUCUCGCGCCGCAGCCAAGCCUUGGCCCUGGCCUACGUACCCUCCAGCAGCCACGCACACGCGCCUCCAUACGCUAGUCCAGACCUGUACCCGAGCGCCAAUGCACUUGUACCUGCGAAAGAGAACAAGAAAAGAGCAGCAGAAUAGCAGCCAAUAGGAGAACAAAAAUUGUUUUUUUUGUGUUAUUCGGCUAUAAAGCCUUUUAUUUUCGAUUGUAAAUGGUUCUUCUUUACGAAUGAAAUAUACACAUGCAUAUUACACACUCGAACGCCACAUAAACACAAAAAUACACAUAAAAAAACAGAAGCAAUAGAAAACAACCGAUUCUUAAAGGUGAUUUUCUGACUGAAAUCUCGGGGGCGUUCUUUUUUUUCGGCUUGAUCUUUUGUUUAUUUUUUAUUUUUACUCGAAGGCAUGAAUAAAAAAGGGAAAAGCGGGAGUUUACCUUGAAAGCACGCCGUAGAUCUCCUCUUGCUUAGUUAAAAUCGAAGUUAAGAGGAGAUUGAAAGGAGAAAAGGUGUUCUCUCCAGUCUAAAUCUGUUGGCUGCUGCCAGGGAAAGGAGAAUCGGCAUUUUCAAAGGGGAUUUAGGGUUUAGAAAAGAAGAAAAUGGAUGGGGUUUCAGCUGAACGGGGUGUUUUGUUGGGGAUUUUAAGGGAGUAAGAAAUGGCACCGUUUAGACCAAUGAUAAUGGUCUCAAACGACACCGUCUAGGCCACCCCCUUUAUGCCUGAUCCAAUUCGUUUCUUCGACCCUCAGGACCCGCGCGCCUUUGCGGUGAAGGGUUAUUUUCCAUAUCAGUCCUUCCCUUUCGCACAGUAUUCAAAUCAGCCCGUAUUCUUGUUUCAUUUUUUUAUUAAUUUAGCCUUGUGAUUUACACUCGUUUGCAAAUGGAUCCGCGCUUAAACGUAGCAUUUGGGAUCUAGUAUAUUGCCAGUUUUAGUCCCUAGCUGUUUUCGUUCAUUGAUUAUUGGUCCUUUUAUUGUUAUUGUUUUAUUUUCAAAUUGUCCCUACUGUUUUAGUUUAAUUCCAGUUAAGUUUUCCUUAUUUUUUU
Molecule: long non-coding RNA, 18298 nt
Filed under: Gossypium barbadense (sea-island cotton)
Lineage: Eukaryota; Viridiplantae; Streptophyta; Magnoliopsida; Malvales; Malvaceae
Description: long non-coding RNA (GBAR_LNC009222)
Source: RNAcentral